RNAcentral lists this transfer RNA (72 nucleotides) under Bos taurus (domestic cattle). It matches the Rfam family "tRNA". Rfam says of the family: Transfer RNA (tRNA) molecules are approximately 80 nucleotides in length. Their secondary structure includes four short double-helical elements and three loops (D, anti-codon, and T loops). Lineage: Eukaryota; Metazoa; Chordata; Mammalia; Artiodactyla; Bovidae. RNAcentral also lists the same sequence under 2 other names. The record is from Rfam by way of RNAcentral.
UCCCUGGUGGUCCAGUGGUUAAGACUUGGUGCUUUCACUACGAGGGUCUGGGUUCAAUCCCAGGUCAGGGAA